Carya illinoinensis is the source of this 132-nucleotide small nucleolar RNA. RefSeq annotates it as small nucleolar RNA snoR111. The transcript has a single exon. The record is from RefSeq and is a predicted model, not a curated record. Lineage: Eukaryota; Viridiplantae; Streptophyta; Magnoliopsida; Fagales; Juglandaceae.
AAGAGAAAAAGGGAGCCAGUUCUGUGUCUCCUGGUUUAGAAGAACAUUGAGGUAAAGCAAAAAAUCAAUGGCCGAGCUAUCUUUUCGGUCGUAUCUCUUUUUAUUGGCGAUUCGAUUGUUGCUUGUCCACAU